This is a non-coding RNA of Biomphalaria glabrata, 57 nucleotides long. The record is from Rfam. NCBI's taxonomy places the organism in Eukaryota, Metazoa, Mollusca, Gastropoda, Planorbidae.
UAGCUGAGCGGUAAAGCACUUGGCUUCUGAACCGGGGGCCCCAGGUUCGAAUCCUGG